RNAcentral lists this transfer RNA (47 nucleotides) under Anisakis simplex (herring worm). It matches the Rfam family "tRNA", at positions 25 to 71 of the family's 71-position model. From Rfam's summary of the family: Transfer RNA (tRNA) molecules are approximately 80 nucleotides in length. Their secondary structure includes four short double-helical elements and three loops (D, anti-codon, and T loops). Further hydrogen bonds mediate the characteristic L-shaped molecular structure. tRNAs have two regions of fundamental functional importance: the anti-codon, which is responsible for specific mRNA codon recognition, and the 3' end, to which the tRNAs corresponding amino acid is attached (by aminoacyl-tRNA synthetases). tRNAs cope with the degeneracy of the genetic code in two manners: having more than one tRNA (with a specific anti-codon) for a particular amino acid; and 'wobble' base-pairing, i.e. permitting non-standard base-pairing at the 3rd anti-codon position. The record is from Rfam by way of RNAcentral. Lineage: Eukaryota; Metazoa; Nematoda; Chromadorea; Rhabditida; Anisakidae.
UCCACGUUGUGGCCGUGGCGACACAGGUUCGAUUCCUGUCUUGGGCA